AACGAACGCUGGCGGCAUGCUUAACACAUGCAAGUCGAACGGAGGUCUAGGGCUUGCCCUUGGCCUCAGUGGCGAACGGGUGAGUAACGCGUGGGAACCUGCCUUGGAGUGGGGGAUAACCACUGGAAACGGUGGCUAAUACCGCAUGUGCCCCGAGGGGCAAAGCCGCAAGGCGCUACGAGAGGGGCCCGCGUCCGAUUAGCUUGUUGGUGGGGUAACGGCCUACCAAGGCAUCGAUCGGUAGCUGGUCUGAGAGGAUGAUCAGCCACACUGGGACUGCGACACGGCCCAGACUCCUACGGGAGGCAGCAGUGGGGAAUAUUGGACAAUGGGCGCAAGCCUGAUCCAGCAAUGCCGCGUGCGUGAUGAA
RNAcentral lists this ribosomal RNA (370 nucleotides) under uncultured bacterium. RNAcentral's name for it is "bacterial SSU rRNA". It matches the Rfam family "Bacterial small subunit ribosomal RNA", at positions 28 to 412 of the family's 1533-position model. The record is from RNAcentral.